Molecule: ribosomal RNA, 265 nt
Filed under: uncultured archaeon
Lineage: Archaea
Description: partial 16S ribosomal RNA
Rfam family: Archaeal small subunit ribosomal RNA
Source: RNAcentral
ACACGACUACAUUUAGAUACCCCUGUAGUCCUAGGCGUAAAUGAUGCGAGUUAAGUNUGGGGGCAUCUACGAGAUGGCCCUGUGCUGUAGGGUAGCCGUUAAACUCGCUGCCUGGGGAGUACGGUCGCAAGGCUGAAACUUAAAGGAAUUGGCGGGGAGCACCACAAGAGGUGGAGGCUGCGGUUCAAUUGGACUCAACGCCGGAAAACUCAUCGGGAGCGACAGCAGUAUGAUUGCCAGGUUGAUGACCUUGCUUGACAAGCUG